AGACAUCCCAUUAAGAGAUCAACUGAGAUUAUAACUUUCACCAAAACAUGGGACCAACCCCAUAAUAAGAAGAACGAAACCUUACAAAGAGCUAUGAAAAGAAGCCCUUGGCUGUUCUUCAGAGCUCCAGGAUGGCCAUGAAAUCACGCCAAGACAGGUCUGGUGCUCCCUCAAGGAUUGGAGAUUAUCACAGAAGAGGCCAGCCUUGGACCCAGCUCAGCCAGAAGCUUCCAUAUGAAAAGAGAUGGAAACUGUACCUGUGCCCAAGACAAAAAUCUCCCAUGAAAUUUAAGAGAAUAAGAAGCCUAUCACUAGUCCCCAGACAAGGUAAGUCGCUCACAAGAAACAAAGGGGAGAAAAGAAUGACAGCUUUAACGUGGGACAAAAAUAAAACGCAGAUUAAGUCAAAGUUUAAUUCACAUAAAGUUUAAUCAGUCAAGUUAAUGAAAAUAUCAAAAUUUUUGAGUUAGUGUAUGGCAGCAGAAAUUUAAUUUUUGUUGCAAAUAAUACAGUAUUUGGUGUUUCCGUCACUGACAAGCUAUGCUGCAGAUAGAGCAAUUGCAUUGAAUCUCAGUUCAUCAGGGUCACGUUCCAUAAACUUCUUGCAAACUUCUAUGGCAUCCUA
Molecule: long non-coding RNA, 625 nt
Organism: Lutra lutra (Eurasian river otter)
Lineage: Eukaryota; Metazoa; Chordata; Mammalia; Carnivora; Mustelidae
Exons: 3
Source: RefSeq, a predicted model, not a curated record